This 484-nucleotide ribosomal RNA is filed under the name uncultured bacterium. RNAcentral describes it as "partial 16S ribosomal RNA". It matches the Rfam family "Bacterial small subunit ribosomal RNA", at positions 30 to 507 of the family's 1533-position model. The record is from RNAcentral.
AUUGAACGCUGGCGGCAGGCCUAACACAUGCAAGUCGAGCGGAUGAAGGGAGCUUGCUCCUGGAUUCAGCGGCGGACGGGUGAGUAAUGCCUAGGAAUCUGCCUGGUAGUGGGGGAUAACGUCCGGAAACGGGCGCUAAUACCGCAUACGUCCUGAGGGGGAAAGGGGGGGAUCUUCGGACCUCACGCUAUCAGAUGAGCCUAUGUCGGAUUAGCUAGUUGGUGGGGUAAAGGCCUACCAAGGCGACGAUCCGUAACUGGUCUGAGAGGAUGAUCAGUCACACUGGAACUGAGACACGGUCCAGACUCCUACGGGAGGCAGCAGUGGGGAAUAUUGGACAAUGGGCGAAAGCCUGAUCCAGCCAUGCCGCGUGUGUGAAGAAGGUCUUCGGAUUGUAAAGCACUUUAAGUUGGGAGGAAGGGCAGUAAGUUAAUACCUUGCUGUUUUGACGUUACCAACAGAAUAAGCACCGGCUAACUUCGUG